This 534-nucleotide ribosomal RNA is filed under the name uncultured bacterium. RNAcentral describes it as "bacterial SSU rRNA". It matches the Rfam family "Bacterial small subunit ribosomal RNA", at positions 777 to 1320 of the family's 1533-position model. The record is from RNAcentral.
AAUAGAUACCCAGGUAGUCCACGCCGUAAACGAUGGAUACUAGCUGUUGGGCGCAAGUUCAGUGGCUAAGCGAAAGUGAUAAGUAUCCCACCUGGGGAGUACGUUCGCAAGAAUGAAACUCAAAGGAAUUGACGGGGGCCCGCACAAGCGGUGGAGCAUGUGGUUUAAUUCGAUGAUACGCGAGGAACCUUACCAAGGCUUAAAUGUAGAUUGACCGGUUUGGAAACAGAUCUUUCGCAAGACAAUUUACAAGGUGCUGCAUGGUUGUCGUCAGCUCGUGCCGUGAGGUGUCAGGUUAAGUCCUAUAACGAGCGCAACCCCUGUUGUUAGUUGCCAGCGAGUCAAGUCGGGAACUCUAACAAGACUGCCAGUGCAAACUGUGAGGAAGGUGGGGAUGACGUCAAAUCAUCACGGCCCUUACGCCUUGGGCUACACACGUGCUACAAUGGCCGGUACAGAGAGCAGCCACUGGGUGACCAGGAGCGAAUCUAUAAAACCGGUCACAGUUCGGAUCGGAGUCUGACAACUCGUACG